GAUGAAGAACGUAGCGAAAUGCGAUAAGUAAUGUGAAUUGCAGAAUUCAGUGAAUCAUCGAAUCUUUGAACGCACAUUGCGCCCGCCAGUAUUCUGGCGGGCAUGCCUGUCUGAGCGUCAUUUCAACCCUCAUGCCCCUAGGGCGUGGUGUUGGGGAUCGGCCAAAGCCCGCGAGGGACGGCCGACCCCUAAAUCUAGUGGCGGACCCGUCGUGGCCUCCUCUGCGAAGUAGUGAUAUUCCGCAUCGGAGAGCGACGAGCCCCUGCCGUUAAACCCCCAACUUUCCAAGGUUGACCUCAGAUCAGGUAGGAAUACCCGCUGAACUUAAGCAUAUCAAUAAGCGGAGGA
RNAcentral lists this unclassified non-coding RNA (348 nucleotides) under soil metagenome. Its description in RNAcentral is "partial contains 5.8S ribosomal RNA, internal transcribed spacer 2, and large subunit ribosomal RNA". The stretch from base 1 to 120 matches the Rfam family "5.8S ribosomal RNA", at positions 35 to 154 of the family's 154-position model. The record is from RNAcentral.